This 372-nucleotide long non-coding RNA is filed under the name Ananas comosus (pineapple). RNAcentral describes it as "long non-coding RNA (ACOM_LNC013756)". The record is from RNAcentral. Lineage: Eukaryota; Viridiplantae; Streptophyta; Magnoliopsida; Poales; Bromeliaceae.
UCAAAAUAGACUGCAGAUAGUUCAAAAUCUUAAAUGAACUUUUUUGUAUCUUCGUAAUAAGUCGUAAUACAAGAGAAGGACAUACAGAUCAAUUAGAUAGAAAUCCAUAUUGCCGAUCGUCAACUGUACAUGAUGAUUGUUGCAGCUUGUUAAUGAAGUGUAAAAACCGUUACAAAGAAAUGUAAGUGAAGAGCUCACAAACAAUGAAGUAAACGUAGAAAGUGGAGUCACCCUUAUAACAAGAGAAUUUUUAUUUAUCUUGUUGUGAUUGUUAUAUCUGUUUUCUUUUAGAGCUCCCGUUUAAAGACGGUUCAUCUUAACACGUGUGUAACACAUGUUUCUUUAAAAUAAUACAAAUUUAGAAAAGAAGAA